CCUACGGGUGGCAGCAGUGAGGAAUAUUGCACAAUGGGGGCAACCCUGAUGCAGCAACGCCGCGUGAAGGAGGAAGUAUUUCGGUGUGUAAAGCUCUAUCAGCAGGGGAUAGAAAAGAAGGUACCUGAACAAGAAGCCCCGACUAACUACGUGCCGGCAGCCGCGGUAAUACGGAGGAGGCAAGCGUUAUCCGGAUGUACUGGGGGUAAAGGGAGCGUAGACGGAAAGGUAAGUCAGAAGUGAAAGUCCAAGGCUCAACCAUGGGAUUGCUAUUGAAACUGUCAAACUAGAGUACGGGUGAGGUAAGAGGAAUGCGUAGUGUAGCGGUGAAAUGCGUAGAUAUUAGGAGGAACACCAGUGGCGAAGGCGGCUUACUGGACUGAAACUGACGUUGAGGCUCGAAAGCGUGGGGAGCAAACAGGAUUAGAUACCCCGGUAGUC
RNAcentral lists this ribosomal RNA (441 nucleotides) under uncultured bacterium. RNAcentral's name for it is "partial 16S ribosomal RNA". It matches the Rfam family "Bacterial small subunit ribosomal RNA", at positions 338 to 795 of the family's 1533-position model. The record is from RNAcentral.